UACGGAGGGGGCUAGCGUUGUUCGGAAUUACUGGGCGUAAAGCGUGCGCAGGCGGUUAUGUAAGACAGAUGUGAAAUCCCCGGGCUCAACCUGGGAACUGCAUUUGUGACUGCAUAGCUAGAGUACGGUAGAGGGGGAUGGAAUUCCGACGUGUAGCAGUGAAAUGCGUAGAGAUGCUGGAGGGAACACCCGAUGGCGAAGGCAGCCCCCUGGGCUAACACUGACGCUCGAUGCCACGAAAGCCGUGGGGAGCAA
RNAcentral lists this ribosomal RNA (255 nucleotides) under uncultured bacterium. RNAcentral describes it as "partial 16S ribosomal RNA". It matches the Rfam family "Bacterial small subunit ribosomal RNA", at positions 524 to 771 of the family's 1533-position model. The record is from RNAcentral.